AGCUCCAAUAGCGUAUAUUAAAGUUGUUGCGGUUAAAAGCUCGUAGUUGGAUUUCUGCUGAGGACGGGCGGUCCGCACUAUGUGCGUGUAUCUGUUACGGCCUUGGCAUCCUCUUGGUGAGCGUGUUUGUGCUUGAUUGCAUGGCACGGCAUCCAAGACUUUUACUUUGAGGAAAUUAGAGUGUUCACGGCAGGCAUACGCUUUGAAUAUAUUAGCAUGGAAUAAUAAGAUAGGACCAGGUUCCUAUUUUGUUGGUUUCUAGGGAUCAGGUAAUGGUUAAUAGGGAUAAUUGGGGGCAUUCGUAUUAAGGCGUCAGAGGUGGAAUUCUUGGAUUGCCUUACGACGAACUACUGCGAAAGCAUUUGCCAAGGAUGUUUUCA
Molecule: ribosomal RNA, 380 nt
Filed under: uncultured eukaryote
Lineage: Eukaryota
Description: SSU rRNA
Rfam family: Eukaryotic small subunit ribosomal RNA
Source: RNAcentral